This 981-nucleotide ribosomal RNA is filed under the name Clavascidium pseudorufescens. Its description in RNAcentral is "LSU rRNA". It matches the Rfam family "Eukaryotic large subunit ribosomal RNA", at positions 83 to 1083 of the family's 3401-position model. The record is from RNAcentral. Lineage: Eukaryota; Fungi; Ascomycota; Eurotiomycetes; Verrucariales; Verrucariaceae.
GUAACGGCGAGUGAAGCGGCAACAGCUCAUUUGAAAUCUGGCCCCUCGGAGGGUCCGAGUUGUCAUCUGCAGAGGAUGCUUCGGGCAACGCCGCGCUCCAACCCGCUUGGGACAGCGGGCCACAGAGGGUGAGAGUCCCGUCCAGGACCGCGUGCCGCCCCCGUGUGAAGCUCCUUCGACGAGUCGAGUUGUUUGGGAAUGCAGCUCAAAGCGGGUGGUAAAUUCCAUCUAAAGCUAAAUACGGGCCAGAGACCGAUAGCGCACAAGUAGAGUGAUCGAAAGAUGAAAAGCACUUUGAAAAGAGAGUUAAACAGUAUGUGAAAUUGUUGAAAGGGAAGCGCUGGCGACCAGACCUGCGGGCGGCGGUUCCCCCGGCCUCGUCGACCGGGCUCCUCCGUCGCCCCCAGGCCAACAUCGGUUCGGGUGGCCGGUGAAAGGCCCCGGGAACGUAUCUGCCUCUGGGCCGACUUAUAGCCCGGGGUGUCAUGCGGCCCAUCCGGACCGAGGAACGCGCUCCGGCGAGGAUGUUGGCGUAAUGGUGGUCAGCGGCCCGUCUUGAAACACGGACCAAGGAGUCUAACAUCCAUGCGAGUGUUUGGGUGUCAAACCCCGGCGCGGAAUGAAGGUGAACGGAGGUGAGAGCCCGGCGGGGGCGCAUCAUCGACCGAUCCGGAUGUCUUCGGAUGGAUUUGAGUAAGAGCAUGGCUGUUGGGACCCGAAAGAUGGUGAACUAUGCCCGGAUAGGGUGAAGCCAGAGGAAACUCUGGUGGAGGCUCGCAGCGGUUCUGACGUGCAAAUCGAUCGUCGAAUCUGGGUAUAGGGGCGAAAGACCAAUCGAACCGUCUGGUAGCUGGUUCCUGCCGAAGUUUCCCUCAGGAUAGCAGUAACGGAAGCAGUUUUAUGAGGUAAAGCGAAUGAUUAGAGGCCUUGGGGUUGAAACAACCUUAACCUAUUCUCAAACUUUAAAUAUGUAAGAAGUCC